RNAcentral lists this unclassified non-coding RNA (200 nucleotides) under Helotiales sp. RNAcentral describes it as "partial internal transcribed spacer 2". The record is from RNAcentral. Lineage: Eukaryota; Fungi; Ascomycota; Leotiomycetes; Helotiales.
UUAAGUUCAGCGGGUAUCCCUACCUAAUCCGAGGUCAAUCAUUAAAAAAUGGGGGGGUUCUGGCGAGUGUCCAUCAGACGUCUGUAGCGAGAAAAAUUACUACGCUUAGAGCCUGACAGCACUGCCACUGAUUUUAGAGGCUGCCCUUACAGCAGGCCUCAACACCAAGCUAGGCUUGAGGGGUGAUAAUGACGCUCGAA